GGAGAAGUGACCGAGUGGCCGAUGGUGCAUGUUUGGAAAACAUGUUCGCAUAAUCUUUGCGACAAGGGUUCGAAUCCCUUCUUCUCCG
Molecule: transfer RNA, 88 nt
Filed under: Richelia sp. RM2_1_2
Lineage: Bacteria; Bacillati; Cyanobacteriota; Cyanophyceae; Nostocales; Nostocaceae
Description: tRNA-Ser
Rfam family: tRNA
About the family: Transfer RNA (tRNA) molecules are approximately 80 nucleotides in length. Their secondary structure includes four short double-helical elements and three loops (D, anti-codon, and T loops).
Source: RNAcentral